Long non-coding RNA from Lolium perenne, 3837 nucleotides. RefSeq lists it as uncharacterized. The record is from RefSeq and is a predicted model, not a curated record. NCBI's taxonomy places the organism in Eukaryota, Viridiplantae, Streptophyta, Magnoliopsida, Poales, Poaceae.
CGUAUCAAUCACGGUUCGCCCAAUUCUACUCCCACGAUCUGACCCCACCGCCUCCUCUCCUUCUCCCCCAGGCUUGACCCUCUCGGUUGCUCAGCCAAUCCCGGCUCCUCUUUUCCCCAAGCGAAACACCUACAUCCUUGGCAUCAGGUCGUCAAUCCUAGGUUGGGCAGAGCCACUCCUCUAGGCUCCAGAAGGGAAAGGGGAAGGAGAAAGGAACGGACGAGAUCAGGGGUAGGAGGUGGCAGGAGGGAGGGGCUGACGACCGCGACGAGCUCUGCCUUCUUCCAUUGCCCCAUGUUGUUCUUUCUUCAAUCCUCGGGGCACGCGGGCCGACGACAACGACCUCGGGCUGGAGCAGGAAGGGUCAAGCGGCAGCGACCUCAGGGCAGAACAAGAAGUUGCUGGCAGCGGAGAAGCAUUUGUCGACCAACAAGCAAGGGCGGAUGGCAUCGGUAGACCAUGAUCCGGAAGAAAACGGUGGUGGCUGGAUCAAGAAGAAGAUGAUAAACUUGCAGCCGAAUCGAGACGCAAGGGACGCCCAGAAGAUCACCAGAGAAAGAAGAGAACAACGGCCACAAUCUCACUACCCUUUCGUCAAGCACAUGCCAUUUGCCGCUGCUUCUCACCACCAAAAAUCCACCACAAUAGCUGCAUCUUGGCGUAUUCUUGCUUUGUCUGAAGUGGACGAUUGGAGAUGUUACAUUUAGUUGGAAGUGGCAUGUUGCAGAUAUGCUUGAUGGAGCAGAACAUGCUGAUUUGAACGGUAUUGUUGAUACUUUUGUGACGUUAUUUUCCCUACAGACAGGUGAUUCAACAAUCUGUUAGUUCCUUUUAUCCUCCUAGAGGGUUGUCUAAUCUCUCAGCGUUUUUUUUUUCUUUCUGAAGUUGGUGCCAUUUUAUCUCCAUCUAAUUAUGCACAUAGGGAGCAGGCAUGUGAACCAUGCUUCAAAUAAAAUUGGCAUCAUGUGAGCUGAUGCACAUGUACUGCAUAGGUAUCCCGACAUGCCUUUUCCAUGGAAGAAAUUAGGUAUCAAUGCAAGGCUACCAAGCUUAUUCUUGAAUAAAUUUCUUAGUAUCGACAGCAAAAGAUAAUUGCUCCAACAUCAAAUUUGCUCCGUCUCGACAGUGAUUAGAAAUAGGCAGCUGAAUGUACCUAUGAUCCUUGUUAAUUCUGACGAGAGCUCACGAUGCAUGCUUGUUGGGUCCUGUCCUCGCAUAAUUUCUUCAGCCAGAUCCGAUUUCCUUCCCCACGCAAUCUCCUACCAUCUGAACCAGCUAUGCUCGAUCCGCUCCUCCCAUGGCAGGCGGGUGCCCCCAUCCCAUCACACACCUCGCCUUUCUCAGCUACCUUCUCCCGCGUUACCACUCCUUCAGCUUCUUGCCACCGCUUCUACCAUGCUACGAGUUAAACAUGACACAUCUGAGAUCCGACAGCCACCGGGGCUCGUGCAAGCGAAGGGCGCCAUCAAGCUGCUGAUGUCGAGCGAGAUGGUGGAUGGUACCGGUGUCGAGGCACCGGUUCACGCCGCUUAAGAUGGUAUGGGAGGAGAUCUACACCCUACGGACUGAUGAAAUUUGACAUCCACUUGAACAUCAAGGUAACCACCCUCUCAUUACAUGUCAAUCGCAUUCCUUGUUGUUAUGGGAUACCCUAGCUGUAUCUGGUGGUACUGGCUGUCGAAAAGAAAAAAUUCAGUUGAUGUAAAUGGAGUUUGUGUAAUUGCUAAGAGUGUGAAGAUGUAUUUUGUUCCAGGUCCAAUCAGUUGGAUAUAAACAUUUAAAAGUAGAUGUCAAGCUGCGUAGGAUGCUGAAGGUCAAGAUUAGCUGAUGGUACUUUUUUUAUAGGGCUCGGGAUACCCGAUCAGUUGACAUCCAAGUACGCAGGGAACAAUUGUUUCGUUCGUCACAGAGUAGAUAAUAAGAAUGGCUACAGUUUUAAAUGCACCUUGUGGUAUUGCAAGGGGAUGGAAAGAUUUUGUUUCACAGCAUGGCAGCACCUCUUUUCUAUCCACGUGAGGUGGCUAUACUCUAUCAAGUUUUGGGUUCUUCGUGUUGCAACUUAUUUUACAUUCUCGAUUUUUUUGUCAAAAAUAAAUGUUGAAAUUACGGAGUAGUAUAGUUCAAGGGAAGAUCAGAUACGUGUUGUGGGAUGAGGCACUGGCAAAUAUUUGUUGUUUUCAUGUUGUUUAGUCACAGUUAAGCCCUUAGUUGUUUCAUCCAUGCAACUAAUUUUCUCUACUGCAUCUACAAUUUCAGAAAAAAUAAAUGUAUGAUGUAUGAUUAACAGGUUGCAUCCGGAGACCUGGGUUUAUUUAAAGCUGGAAGUGAGUAAUCUGCUGAGUUACUUAGGUGUCGCUGAAGCUGCAAACAUAAAGGAGUACAAUCCAGUCUUCAUUAAGCGAAUAUUUAUAGGAUGUUCAUCAUAUACGAAGAAUAUUUAUUUUGGACCAAACAACUAAAUUAUAUUUCCUCUCUUUAAAAAGUGAAAGAUCUAAUGUACAGAUUACUGUUUCUUUGGGACUGGUAUAAGGAUAUUACUGCUGAUCGGAAAGCUUGCAUGUAGGAACAGAAAAAUGAUGGUAUUCCUUGUGGAAGUAUUGAUACCGGCCCCGGCCCAUGGAAAAUCACAAUCCAAAGAACCUGAUAAAUUCAUUGCUGGUUGGUGAAGUUCCAGUGCAAUUCGGGAGAAAAAAAGCAAGUUCCAUGAAGUGUUUUUGCCUUGGUACAUGCUCAUAUAUUUAAGGAUGAAUCAACUUUUGGCUUGUGAGAAGGCUAUCCGCUGACCAUGAAAUGUAUCACCCGAAUUCUAUCAGGCUGCAACUUGUAAAGGGAUAUGACGCUUGUAGUUUUAAACUAUACUCUGGUGCGCCGUAGUACUCGACGAGUAGAUAAGUGGGAAAUGCUAAUCCUAAACCAUGCAAUUUGGAAAUGCUAGCUUGUAGUCUCUGCUAAUACUAGACAAUGUAGCUGUUGCUAAUUUCAUAUCUAGGACUAUAGACAACAUGUAUAAUAAUUCCUUGCUAUCAUCUGUUUUUUUCCUUCGGUGGUUUCUAUACCACUUUUGGGUCAUAAAUUAUAUACAAGUAUACCUAUGGUUUGAAUAUAUAUCACGAUUUGAAUUCCUUGCAUCAAUCGGAGCGAUAAAGGCUCAUCAUAGUAACUAGAGUGGGUUGAUAAUACGAAUAAAGAUAAUGGGGUAUGGAGGUAGACAGGCGGAUAAAUACCUAGAGGUCGAGCUGAUGGCAGGCACUACUUGAGGCUAAGCCUUGUCCAGCCGCGUAUAUACCACCAUUCUUUUAUGCUUGAUAAAGAAUGUACCACUUUAUUAUUACUUCCACUUAAUUGUAUAUGAAUCCCUUUUCCAUUUAUUUGAUCUUAGGAUGAAGUUUGAGAAGAAAGAAGGACACAACAACGCAUGAGGUUAGUUCAAUCAGAUCCUAAUCACAGGGGUGUAGGAGUGUGAGAAGAUGGUGGGCGGGCCAUAGCACUGCGUGUGAUGGGGAACAAUGGGAACCCACUUAGCUGAAAUGGAGCAUUGCAUAGAAGGGUGUCAAGCGCUAGGAGGCGGUCGAUGAACAAGUAAGGUAUACGGUAUGGAAGCCAAGCUAAUCGUAAAGGGAAAUUAAGCUGGGCUAGCGGCGAAGGCAAAUUUCCGUCUAUGUCAGGCAUUGUCAUUUUUUCAGCGAGGUCCCAUUGUAUUUGUUAUUAAAUAAAGAGGUUGCAUUGUGACAUUGAGCAUAGUUGCAUACCCUUCAUUCAUUAUCCACAUCAUGAUCGGUUGUUCCUUCACCAAUGUUGAUGGAUGAGAUCAUGUUGAAAUGUGUUGCCAUUUCUUUA